UCCAGCUCCGCUGAGAACACUGCCUCAGAAAGGCUGCAUAUGGGCACUCUGGAUAGCAGCCCAGCUGAGCACAGGCUUCCGUCAUCCCAACCCAGACCCAAAUGUGCAAGUGAAGUGGCCUCCAGAUGACUCCAGUCCCAGCCAUUUCGUCUUUCCAGCUGAUGUCCCAGAUGUCACAGAGCCAGGUCCACCAGGCCCUAUCUGAAGUCCUGAAAUACAGAAUCCAUAUGCAUGAUAGAACGGGUGUUUACACUGCUUCGUCUUGGGGGGAGUUUGUUAUACAUAAUAGUUAAUGAUAACGGUUCCUCAUCGCCCUCUAAAGACAGAAUAGGAGAGUCUGAGCUGUGAAAGAAAGGGAGAGACAUUAGAUUACUCAUGGGAGAUUGUCAGCCAGGUGCCAGAAGAUACAUCUGCGGUGGCCAUUAAAGUACCAUGAGGAAUCGGUUCCCUGGAACCCAACUCCUUCUGCAUCCAGUGCCUGGUCCCAUGUCAGCUAUGGUGGGACAGAUAACCUUACAUCUGAGCAGUGUCAGGAACUGCAGAAUAACAAAAGCAG
This 556-nucleotide long non-coding RNA is filed under the name Homo sapiens (human). RNAcentral describes it as "HSALNT0323003". Lineage: Eukaryota; Metazoa; Chordata; Mammalia; Primates; Hominidae. The record is from RNAcentral.